AAUGAACGUUGGCGGCGUGGAUUAGGCAUGCAAGUCGCGCGACAAGGAACCUUCGGGUUCUGGAGGAGCGGCAAACGGGGUAGUAAGGCAUCGGAACGUACCCUCUUGUUGGGAAUAGCCGCGGGAAACUGCGAGUAAUGCCCAAUAAUCCCUACGGGGCAAAGGUCCGCCGCAGGAGGAGCGGCCGAUGUGAUACCAGCUAGUUGGUGAGGUAAUGGCUCACCAAGGCUUAGACGUCUAGGGGGUGUGAGAGCAUGGCCCCCACCGACUGGGACUGAGAUACUGCCCAGACACCUACGGGUGGCUGCAGUCGAGAAUCUUCGGCAAUGGGCGCAAGCCUGACCGAGCAACGCCGCGUGCGGGAUGAA
RNAcentral lists this ribosomal RNA (368 nucleotides) under uncultured bacterium. RNAcentral's name for it is "bacterial SSU rRNA". It matches the Rfam family "Bacterial small subunit ribosomal RNA", at positions 29 to 412 of the family's 1533-position model. The record is from RNAcentral.